RNAcentral lists this ribosomal RNA (446 nucleotides) under uncultured bacterium. RNAcentral describes it as "partial 16S ribosomal RNA". It matches the Rfam family "Bacterial small subunit ribosomal RNA", at positions 338 to 795 of the family's 1533-position model. The record is from RNAcentral.
CCUACGGGGGGCAGCAGUCGAGAAUCAUUCACAAUGGGGGAAACCCUGAUGGUGCGACGCCGCGUGGGGGAAUGAAGGUCUUCGGAUUGUAAACCCCUGUCAUGUGGGAGCAAAUUAAAAAGAUAGUACCACAAGAGGAAGAGACGGCUAACUCUGUGCCAGCAGCCGCGGUAAUACAGAGGUCUCAAGCGUUGUUCGGAAUCACUGGGCGUAAGGCGUGCGUAGGCUGUUUCGUAAGUCGUGUGUGAAAGGCGCGGGCUCAACCCGCGGACGGCACAAGAUACUGCGAGACUAGAGUAAUGGAGGGGGAACCGGAAUUCUCGGUGUAGCAGUGAAAUGCGUAGAUAUCGAGAGGAACACUCGUGGCGAAGGCGGGUUCCUGGACAUUAACUGACGCUGAGGCACGAAGGCCAGGGGAGCGAAAGGGAUUAGAUACCCUUGUAGUC